RNAcentral lists this small nucleolar RNA (70 nucleotides) under Papilio machaon (common yellow swallowtail). Lineage: Eukaryota; Metazoa; Arthropoda; Insecta; Lepidoptera; Papilionidae. The record is from RNAcentral.
AUUAUAUAUGAUGAAUUAAGUUAUCGCCCCAGUCUGAACUAAAAUGUUGAUUGAUAUUUUUCUGAUUAUU